GUCCACAGCCACACCACCCUGAAUACCCCUGCUCUUGUCCUAUCUGGGAAGCUGAGCAGGGCAGGGCCUGGUUAGCGCUGGGAUG
RNAcentral lists this ribosomal RNA (85 nucleotides) under Prolemur simus (greater bamboo lemur). Lineage: Eukaryota; Metazoa; Chordata; Mammalia; Primates; Lemuridae. The record is from RNAcentral.